RNAcentral lists this small RNA (508 nucleotides) under uncultured Glomus. Its description in RNAcentral is "SSU rRNA". It matches the Rfam family "Eukaryotic small subunit ribosomal RNA", at positions 569 to 1079 of the family's 1831-position model. Lineage: Eukaryota; Fungi; Glomeromycota; Glomeromycetes; Glomerales; Glomeraceae. The record is from RNAcentral.
AGCAGCCGCGGUAAUUCCAGCUCCAAUAGCGUAUAUUAAAGUUGUUGCAGUUAAAAAGCUCGUAGUUGAAUUUCGGGGUCAGUAGGUUGGUCGUGCCACAGGUAUGCACUGGUCUCACUGAUUCCUCCUUCCUGAUGAACCGUAAUGCCAUUAAUUUGGUGUUGCGGGGAGACUGGACUGUUACUUUGAAAAAUUAGAGUGUUUAAAGCAGGCUAACGCUUGAAUACAUUAGCAUGGAAUAACGGAAUAGGACGUUCGAUCUUAUUUUGUUGGUUUCUAAGAUUGACGUAAUGAUUAAUAGGGAUAGUUGGGGGCAUUAGUAUUCAAUUGUCAGAGGUGAAAUUCUUGGAUUUAUUGAAGACUAACUACUGCGAAAGCAUUUGCCAAGGAUGUUUUCAUUAAUCAAGAACGAAAGUUAGGGGAUCGAAGACGAUCAGAUACCGUCGUAGUCUUAACCAUAAACUAUGCCGACUAGGGAUCGGAUGACGUUAAUUUUUUAAUGACUCAU